RNAcentral lists this transfer RNA (74 nucleotides) under Ketogulonicigenium vulgare. RNAcentral's name for it is "tRNA-Gly". It matches the Rfam family "tRNA". Rfam says of the family: Transfer RNA (tRNA) molecules are approximately 80 nucleotides in length. Their secondary structure includes four short double-helical elements and three loops (D, anti-codon, and T loops). Further hydrogen bonds mediate the characteristic L-shaped molecular structure. tRNAs have two regions of fundamental functional importance: the anti-codon, which is responsible for specific mRNA codon recognition, and the 3' end, to which the tRNAs corresponding amino acid is attached (by aminoacyl-tRNA synthetases). tRNAs cope with the degeneracy of the genetic code in two manners: having more than one tRNA (with a specific anti-codon) for a particular amino acid; and 'wobble' base-pairing, i.e. permitting non-standard base-pairing at the 3rd anti-codon position. RNAcentral also lists the same sequence under 3 other names. The record is from RNAcentral. Lineage: Bacteria; Pseudomonadati; Pseudomonadota; Alphaproteobacteria; Rhodobacterales; Roseobacteraceae.
GCGGGUAUGGUGUAAUGGUAGCGCCUUAGCCUUCCAAGCUAAUGGUGCGGGUUCGAUUCCCGCUACCCGCUCCA